Acinonyx jubatus (cheetah) is the source of this 3754-nucleotide long non-coding RNA. RefSeq lists it as uncharacterized. The transcript is spliced from 6 exons. NCBI's taxonomy places the organism in Eukaryota, Metazoa, Chordata, Mammalia, Carnivora, Felidae. The record is from RefSeq and is a predicted model, not a curated record.
UCCGUCGCCGCCGUCGGGCAAGCGGUCGCCGCCGCCGCCAUCCGGCCCCUGGGGCGGCGGCUGCGGCUCCACGUCCUCAUCGUCGUUGGAGAAAAUGUAGGAGACCCCGAUGCGAGGCCCGUCGUCACGGUCCACGCCAGUCGGGUCGGCCGUGGGAACUUCCUUAUAACUUAGGUGGGUCAGUUUCUCCACCUGGUUGCCCAUCACGCUGCGGAUACACGUUCACACAGCCGAGAGGGGAGAAAGCGAAACCACCACUAGGGUCAUUGGCACGGGUCCCCGGACAGGGGCUGAGGCCACCUGUUGGAAGAGGAAAGCAAAGAAGCCAUGUAGGACCCUCCGUGAAAGGGACGAUUUCUUAAGAGAAGGAAGAAUGGCUGGGGGCCCAGCAGCUGGAGCCAUUUUACGGGGAGGCUCGGUUGCGGCGAGCCUUCCCUCAUUUCUCCACCUCUAGGGUCACGGUCACAGGAGGCCGGGCAACUCUAGCUCUACCCCGCCCCCAGCACUUCACCUCGCCCGGGCAAAAGCCCAUUGCAUCAGCAGCUCCAACAGCUUCCGCCGGCGCCCUACCUGCCGAGCCCUAGCAGGAGAGAGUAAAGACGAGAAACUUUACUCCAAUCCCCCUUUUUUCUUCAUCCUCCUUUCACCCCUGGGCCCUAACUUAGCCCCUGAGACGCCCCCCAGGCCUCCAUCCUCGGGGAAACCGGCGAGGAUCCCGCAGAUCGGCUGGGGCAGGUGAACCACCCUACCUGGCUCACCUGCGGCGCUCUCUCCACCCGUCUCGCCCGCCCCUCCCCCGCGCGCCUGCCCUAGGGCUUCGGGUUACCUGCGAAAACUCACCCGCAGAGAGGUGGAGGCCUUGGGGAGUUUACCCCUCCCUCCCCCCCAACCGCACCUUGAGACUUCUAGGGGACUGCUGUUCCCCCUCAACCUGCUCUCGGGGGUAGGUGGGACGCGAGAAGGCGGAGAAGGAAGCAGCCAGGCUGCCCGGCGGCAGCAGCUCCGGCUCGGACCCGGCGAGCAACAAGCGCCGGAGCGGGAGGGACGGGAUUGUAGAUCCGGCUCCGGGCUCCCCGGGCGGGAGCGCAGCCCCUGGCAUUUAAAGAGACAGAAGCUUGCUCCCGGAGCCCAGGUCUUUCCCACACGGCGCAGAGCCUCCGGGAUCCCCGCCCCCGCCCCGCCCACCCGGGCCGCGAGGCUCCGCCCAGACCACGCCCCCACGUCGGAGCGGGUUUAAAUCCAACUGGGCAGGUUCUAUCAGGAGUCUAAUACUUUAUAGCUGAGGAAAGUGCACCAUCUAAAGGGACCCGUUCCUAUCACAGAGCUGGCAAAGCAGCCAACCAACAGAAUAUGGACCAAGACAGGUCUGAAUACAAGUCUCACUGGACCGGGAACCCCGGUGCUCCAACCACUAUUUGCCCCACUGAUGUGACAACAACAGAAAGGAGCUUCUUGGUAACAGUUGGUGGACCUACUCCCAUUCCACUUUAGAGUGCCGAUGGGGUUUUGGGGUGAUGGGGGUCCGGACCUGAUGGCCAAGAAAGAAUUCUUGAGACAUCUUUGGUGCAAAAAAGAUGAAAACCAGCAUGUCCACUGGUGAGGCUAACGUUCCUGUGAGCUGGGGCCAGGAAAAGGCAGCAGACAAAGGGAACAGUCAGCCAGGUAGAGUUUGCUGGAGAUUUACGUGGAAACCUCCUCACAGAGGCAGUGCUGCUGGAUUUAUAACAAGGGUGAGAUAAUUUGUUCUUGUGUGCUAAGAUAAGGGUAAACAAAUUUCAUGCUGUGAUGUAAGCCCCUAUCUGCAGAAGUCAGGAAAGAUUCCCUGCCCUGCCGCCGAAUUGCGUGCUUGACAAAUUAUCCUCAGAGGCUUAUUUCUCUGGAGACUUCAUCUAGUGGUCAUGCCCGGGCCUGAGUAUGAAAGGUGGAAGGACCGGCCUGGGUGCAGAGGAGGGGGACUCUUGUGUUCCUGUGCAUCUGGAAGCCCAGAAAUGAAAGUGACCACAGCGCUGCGGUGGCAUGGAGUAGCUCCGUGGGAUCCCUGGGCAUGAUUGAGGAGACAUGCCUGGAAAUGUGAGUUUCUGUUUCACCUCGUGCUUGGCCUUGGGGCAGCAGUCACAUACUCCCUGGCUCUCCCUUUACACCGUCAACGGCAAGUAGGUAAGUGUCCGGUGUUCCUAGUUGCUCAUCACACCUCCAGGGAAGGAAGCCUUCACUGGGCUCCAGGAACUAGUUGGCUGUCUCUCCCAUACCUUCCACUUCUUUUUUUUUUUUUUUUUAAGUUUAUUUUUGAGAGACAGAGCAUGAGCGGGGGAGUGGCAGAGAGAGAGGGAGACACAGAAUCUGAAGCAGGCUCCAGGCUCUGAGCUGUCAGCACAGAGCCCGAUGCAGGGCUUGAACUCAUAGACCGCGAGAUCAUGACCCGAGCCGAAGUCGGAUGCUCAACCGACUGAGCCACUCAGAUGCCCCUUUGUUUAUUUUUUACAGAGAGAGAGAGAGUGUGCAUGCACGAGUUGGGGACAGGGAGAAUGAGAAUCUUAAGCAGCUUCCAUGCCCGGCAUGGAGCCCAACGCGGGGCUCCAUCUCACGACCGGGAGAUCAUGACCUGAGCCAAAAUCAAGAGUCUGAUGCUUAACUGAUUGAUUGAGCCACCCAAGCACCCCAAUUUUUUCUGUUUGUUUUUGAACCUCUUUAAAAAAUAUCGGGGUGCAACUUAAAAUUUGGAAAGCUUAUUAUUCUAGAGUGUACAUUGUUUAGUGUUUUGCAUAUAUAUUUUUUAUAAUCUUAAUUAUUCUGUAUGUAAUUAUUAUCAUCCCCUUCCCAGAUACUCAGACUGAGGCCCCAGAACCAAGAAAACACAGCUCUUGUGUAGCAAAGCCCAAGCUGAUCCCGGUGUCCUGAGCCAGGGUAUAUUGCUAUCCGUGUGCCUUUGGGCAUUUCCCUGGGCCUGGGCCUGCCUCUCAUUUUCCCCAACUGUAAAACAUGGGGAGAGACAGAUUAAGAUCCCAUCAGCUGCUCCUCAGUGGCGUCAGAGGUGCAGGAGGAGGAGGUGUGCAGUCAGGCAGACUGGGCUUUAAGGCUUGAGCAACAUCACGUGUGAGUCCCCAGUGCACAGCCUUGGGUGUGAGAAAAGUGAAUAGGGAGCCAGUCAGUAGCACAGGGCCUUCAAGAGGCAAUUCAUCCCGGAGCCUAGAAGUCUAACCUGCAACGGAUGAGUGACCAGGCCGGCGUCAUUGACAACGCUGAUCCUAAAGAUGGCGUGGUCAUGUUUGUGGGUUUGCAGAGUAAGGCACACAUACGUGCACACUCAUGCACACACAGAUACAAUCAUCAAGAGAGUGUGUGUAGCCAGAGACACAAGAGACAUAGGAUAAGAUUCUUUUACGUUGCAGAUGAUAUCAUCCAAACUCUCCGGCAUCCCCAUAGAGGACUUUGAAGAUUACGACUGUCUUCUGUUACUCAGUCUUCUCUGCCCAUGCUUUCCAUAUUCUUGGUGCAGACGGGGUCAUCGACUUUCCCAUCUCAUCCCUUGAAUCUGAAUCACCUAUGGGACUUGCUUCGGCCAAUGAGAAAUUAAUAAAUAUGAUGCAAAGAAGAGGCUUGAAAAAUGCCUGCAUAUAAGCUUCCUACAGUUGCCCACAGAUGCACGAGUGAGCCCAGCAAAGCUCAUGAGAAGAACUGCCCAGCUGAGCCCAGCCCGAGUGGCUGCCUCAUAAAAUCAUGAGCGAAAUAAAUGGCUAUUAUUUUAAUCAGCUAA